UGAGACACUGAGGCAUAAAGAGGAU
RNAcentral lists this non-coding RNA (25 nucleotides) under Mus musculus (house mouse). The record is from RNAcentral. Lineage: Eukaryota; Metazoa; Chordata; Mammalia; Rodentia; Muridae.